GUCUAUGGCCAUGCUACCCUGAAUGAGCCCAAUCCCGGCUGAUCUCGGAAGCUAAGCAGGGUCGGGCCUGGUUAUUACUUGGAUGGGAGACCACCUAGGAAGAUCAGGUGCUGUAGGUG
This 119-nucleotide ribosomal RNA is filed under the name Pteropus alecto (black flying fox). The record is from RNAcentral. Lineage: Eukaryota; Metazoa; Chordata; Mammalia; Chiroptera; Pteropodidae.